RNAcentral lists this ribosomal RNA (406 nucleotides) under uncultured bacterium. Its description in RNAcentral is "partial 16S ribosomal RNA". It matches the Rfam family "Bacterial small subunit ribosomal RNA", at positions 30 to 526 of the family's 1533-position model. The record is from RNAcentral.
AUUGAACGCUGGCGGCAGGCCUAACACAUGCAAGUCGAACGAGUGGCGGACGGGUGAGUAAUGUCUGGGAAACUGCCCGAUGGAGGGGGAUAACUACUGGAAACGGUAGCUAAUACCGCAUACCAUCGGAUGUGCCCCGAUGGGAUUAGAUUGUAGGGGAGGUAACGGCUCGCCGAGGCGACGAUCCCUAGCUGGUCUGAGAGGAUGACCAGCCACACCUGAAAUUAGACACGGUCCAGACUACUACGGGAGUCAGCAGUGGGGAAUAUUGCACAAUUGGCGCAAGUCUUAUGCAGCCAUGCUGCGGGUAUGAAGAAGGCCUUCGGGUUGUAAAGUACUUUCAGCGGGGAGGCGUUACCCGCAGAAGAAGCACCGGCUAACUCCGUGCCAGCAGCCGCGGUAAUAC